GCGGCGGGAUUCGGCUCCGGGGCGCCCGGGGGCGGAGGGAGCAGCCCCGGCGAUGCUGUAAGCCGGGCUGGUUCCUGCCCCUUGGUUGUCCCGCGGCGGGCGGGGGUACCGCGCUUGAGCCGCCCGGGGAAGGGGUGCGAAUCCCCGCCCUGGGUGCCCGGGGGCUGCGGGAGCUGCGUCUGCCCGCGCCGCUCCCGAUCCCGCGUCCCGAGCGGCUCCGGCUCGCCCGGAGCGGCAGGAGAUCGGGGGACUCCUGCACAUCCAGGUCCCUGGCCAGGAACAUGCCCCAGUGCCCUGUGGCCAGUGGGCUGAAGUGCGUGCACAGCCGAUGCAAACUUCAGUUACAUGGUAUCACUGAAGCGGCAGAGGCUGUUAGUGCCAGGGUGAAUCACACUUGUGCUGAACAGUCCACUCAGAGAUCUGGGUGGCUUGCGAGUCUCCUUGCGAUGGCACAACAAGAAACCCACCAGCCUCCAGAAGCUUUAACUCUUUGCAGUAGAACAAGAUUAGAGUGACAGAAGAUGUCUCUCAGUUAGAUUGUAAAUGUCCGCAGCAUACACUUCUUUAGGGUUUAAUUUUUUGUACUGCUAAACCUGUCAACCUCCUGAUCUUUUUCGGAAUAUUUCAGUCCUAUUUUAAAACGUAAUUUAAAGUAAAUUUUGAGUUAAAAGAAAAAAUAAUUUUUAUAGCUAGUAAAAGAAAACAACUCUUGCUGAUUGGCAUAUUGCUUCUUUCCCCAGGAGUGCUCUGCCCCGAGUAAGCAAUGACAUUGAAACAGAGCAAAGUAAAUGACAAAUGCAUGCAAUUCAGUGAGUGAGGGCUGACUGAAAGUCCAACUUGAAGUCCACUAAAGUAAUUAGAAAUGUCUUUUUUUUUCUACUUCAGUGGCCUUCUGAUCAGACCUUAAAAGACUAAUAAAACUUUGCACCCUUCUGUGGCAUUUUUCAUCAGUUUCACAAUGCUUUUCUCCAACAAAAAGUAAUUAGACUCUGUGAAGUCCUCUGGGAACAUGUCCUUUCAACAGCUAGCAGUGCUGGGGCACACAGGAUAAGCUGCUUGCAUAACAUAGCACAACAAAUAAACAGAAAAACUGUGAAAACAA
Molecule: long non-coding RNA, 1102 nt
Organism: Pseudopipra pipra
Lineage: Eukaryota; Metazoa; Chordata; Aves; Passeriformes; Pipridae
Exons: 3
Source: RefSeq, a predicted model, not a curated record